CUAUCAUUGCUGUAAGAACCACCGUUAUUCGAUAACGAAUUCGCAGCAGCAGUUAACAUUUUAUUCCAAUUUCACUCGAACCAAAGUAAUUCUUCUUUCUUGUAUUAAAAAAGGUCACACAGACUUUCCUAUAGUACACGUGGUUAUUUAAAAAUUGGUGACAAGAUGCUUUCAUAGGACUAAAAAGUACAAGUUAAUGACUAUGGCAUUUCCAAAAAUAACGAUUGAAUAAGCGAAACCAAAUCAUGAAGCCACACGCUUUACAAAUAAGUUACUAACCUAGUAACUUUUAUUUGUGCAUGAUGCUUGCUAAGAACUUUUCUUCUCUUCAGCUGGUUUUUCUUUAUCUGGUUUACUACAUUCCCUGGAUUUUUGUCGUCUUAUCGUGGAAUUCAAAUC
Molecule: unclassified non-coding RNA, 399 nt
Filed under: Bombus terrestris (buff-tailed bumblebee)
Lineage: Eukaryota; Metazoa; Arthropoda; Insecta; Hymenoptera; Apidae
Description: misc RNA ENSBTSG00005020662.1
Source: RNAcentral